RNAcentral lists this ribosomal RNA (253 nucleotides) under uncultured bacterium. Its description in RNAcentral is "partial 16S ribosomal RNA". It matches the Rfam family "Bacterial small subunit ribosomal RNA", at positions 524 to 776 of the family's 1533-position model. The record is from RNAcentral.
UACGGGGGGAGCAAGCGUUGUUCGGAUUUACUGGGCGUAAAGCGUGCGCAGGCGGCUUUGCAAGUCAGAUGUGAAAUCCCCGGGCUCAACCUGGGAACUGCAUUUGUGACUGCAUGGCUGGAGUGCGGCAGAGGGGGAUGGAAUUCCGCGUGUAGCAGUGAAAUGCGUAGAUAUGCGGAGGAACACCGAUGGCGAAGGCAAUCCCCUGGGCCUGCACUGACGCUCAUGCAGGAAAGCGUGGGGAGCAAACAGG